CAGCAGCCACGGUAAUACAGAGGGUGCGAGCGUUAAUCGGAUUUACUGGGCGUAAAGCGUGCGUAGGCGGCUUUUUAAGUCGGAUGUGAAAUCCCUGAGCUUAACUUAGGAAUUGCAUUCGAUACUGGGAAGCUAGAGUAUGGGAGAGGAUGGUAGAAUUCCAGGUGUAGCGGUGAAAUGCGUAGAGAUCUGGAGGAAUACCGAUGGCGAAGGCAGCCAUCUGGCCUAAUACUGACGCUGAGGUACGAAAGCAUGGGGAGCAAACAGGAUUAGAUACCCCCGUAGUCCCUGUCUCUUAUCA
This 301-nucleotide ribosomal RNA is filed under the name uncultured bacterium. Its description in RNAcentral is "partial 16S ribosomal RNA". It matches the Rfam family "Bacterial small subunit ribosomal RNA", at positions 509 to 809 of the family's 1533-position model. The record is from RNAcentral.